Non-coding RNA from Ictidomys tridecemlineatus (thirteen-lined ground squirrel), 2759 nucleotides. The record is from RefSeq and is a predicted model, not a curated record. NCBI's taxonomy places the organism in Eukaryota, Metazoa, Chordata, Mammalia, Rodentia, Sciuridae.
GCUGAGAAGGCAGCGUUCAGCAGGAGCUGAGCCUGUAGUGGGCGCGGACGGGAGUGUGUGGCAGGCCAGGGCUCCGCGUGGCGGAGUGUGAGUCUGUGAGCACAGUGUGUCAGGGUGAGAUGAGAGUGUGGGGGGUCGGGAGGUGUGAGGAGGUGCGUAGAGGGAGACGGGGGUGUGGUCACAGAUCAUGAGUGUGUGUGUGUGUGUGUGUGUGUGUGUACACCUGAGCAGGCUUGAGUGUGUGUGUGUGUGUGUGUGUGUGUGUGUGUGUGUGCCUGAGCAGGCUUGGGACACCACCAAUCCCACAGCCCUGGACGAUGCACCAAGUUCACAGUGGGGCCUGGGGACGGGGCUGUGAGUGAGCAAGCCUGCCCUCUACAGGCGGAGGGCCGUAAAGGAGCCUUGAAAAUGAUUUCAGCCCCUUCACCGUGGUAGGCCUGCAGGGCACCGAGCCCCGGCUGGAGGCUCAUACUCCCGAAACAGAAGAGUCGGGCCGUGGUCUGGAGAUAAUGGAUGGAGCAGCGUGGUAGAAAGAGGAGGGGCCACGAAAUGGAGGAUGACGUAAAACUUCGGGAGGUUUCUCUUCCCAAAUCCUCCACCCUGGAUGGCGAGGAGCGUCACGAAGCCCCCGGCCGCAACGCAGCUGAGCCGGUGCAGCAGAACGACUCUCCUUUGCAGGAAAGAAUGGCAUUUAUUUUCUCCUCCGAAGACCUCCUUGCACAGCAGGCACGGUUUAUGGCAGGUCUCCCCCGCCUGCCCCGGCAGGUCGUAAAGACGGAUUAAAUAAUGGGGGAGGUGACUCUUAAUGACCCACGCAGCGGCCACCCCGUGCGUCCUCUCUUCUGCCCGUGGUGGGUAUCUUUACGGAUGUAGAGUGUUACUUAAGAGAUGCUCUUUAUAGGAUUGUGGGUCAUGGUCAAAACCCAAGCAAUGGGGUUGAGACCAUUUCAAUCACGGCCUCGGACACAUGCUUUGACAUGCACCAGGCUCCUCGGAGGAGAGAUUUCGCUGUACGGUUCGUCUCUUGCCCUCUGGGGUGGGGGCAGUUUGGGAGGAUCUGCUGGAACAGAGAAGUGGGAUAGUGUGCUGGCCCCCUGUCCACACAGGGAGACGGGUCAGUGCAAAGCACCCCAGUGAGACCCCACUUCCAGUUGGAUCCGUCAAUGGCUCUCUCCCUCCUUCUCUCCAUGGAAAAUUCCACUGGACCAGCUUCAUUUCUUUAUCAAGAUUCACCGUUCCGCUGACAAAGCCUCUUCACCCACUUCUCUCCAGCGUCCAGCCCCUGCGCUCCCCUGCCCUCCCCUUGCUGGCCCCUGGCAUCUGCAUGGCAGUCCCUAAGUCUCAGUCUCCUUGUGUAGACUGUCCCUUAAUUAAACCUCCUGGGAAGCCCCAACGGUGAAGGUGUCACCUCUUUUAUCUGUCGGAUCCUGACGGAUUGCAAAUGCCAGAUGAGGCUUUGGAGCUGGUACCCAGCACUGUCCCAGGAUUCCAAGCAAGUCAUUUGGCUCCUGGUCUCUCCUGCGACCUCAAGUGCAGAAUGGCAAUCCAACAGUUCCCAGGAAGGGACACGUCAAGCUGAGCCCAGGAAGUACCCAUGUCCCCCUCUUUUCCGCUUUGCCCACUCUGGUGGGAGGCACUGGAUGACCUAAAUGCUCUUGUCUACUGCAUGGGUCAGAAACAAGGAACAAAACCAAGUGAUGAAUUUCCCCGGGCCGCAGACAGCAGCCUUUCUGUGCUUGUCGAUAAAAUGUUUAAAAUAGGACUUGAUUGGCUUUUGCUUUAAAGAAGCUUAUUAACUUGCUCGGAUCCACGGGAGGAAGGAGGCAGGUGUUGCUCCCAUUCCCCACCAGCUUCUUAAUCAGCAUCCAACGCUCGGCAAGCCACUGCGGUGGGCACCGAAAUGGCUCAGGGAGCUGUUUGGGUGACUGGAGGGUGACAAGGCUCCUCGGAGGUGACAUUGAUAAAUGGGAGGCCUCGGCUGCAGCCCCGGCUCUUCCUCGGUUCCUCUGCUGGUUUUAAUUGUGGCUGGCCCCUCAUCUCCCUCCAGCAUGCCAGGUCUCAGCCUGCAAACGGCAGUGAGGCCCAGGAAGACAGACCACGCGGUGCAGCAGGCAGAUCCAGGAGCUGCCCUCCGCCCCCAGAGCCAGCAAAAUGAAAGCGCAUUCUGCAGGGCCAAGCCCGGAAUUCCACCGCUGGAGACGGAUUCACUGACUUAUCUCAUUUUCAAUUUAUUUUUUUCAAAAAAAAAAUAUUCCAAGAUCUUCCCUUGACCCUGAAAUUGAUAACAAAACAGGAUACAAUGACCAGUCAGUCCCCAUCAGAGUAAGCAGAGCUGGGGCUGACUGCAAAGACGGACUCAAGAGACCAGGGGUCGGCCCUAAAUCCUCCCCAACACUUCCCUCAGCCCAGCCCCAGCCCCAGCCCUCAGCCUUCAACAAGGACCAUCUGCGUAACCAGCUCCUUGGACACUUUUCCCGGGAGGUGUCCUCUGCCCUGAGCAGUUCCAAGUUGAGGACGUACUUGAUGUGAUAAGAGGGCAAUCACUGUUUAUUCAUGUAUUCAUUUUUUCCUUUUUUAAUUUGUUCUUUUUAGAUGACAGUAGAGUACAUGUUGACAUACAUACGCAGAGUGUGUCAAAUUCUAAUUUGGACACCAGCUUUGUGGUCACGCACAUGAUGGGAGAUACACUGUGGUUUAUUCAUGUAUGAACAUAGGGAAGUUAUGUCCAGUUCACCGCACUGUCUUUCCUAUUGUAUCUC